This 301-nucleotide ribosomal RNA is filed under the name uncultured bacterium. Its description in RNAcentral is "partial 16S ribosomal RNA". It matches the Rfam family "Bacterial small subunit ribosomal RNA", at positions 509 to 809 of the family's 1533-position model. The record is from RNAcentral.
CAGCCGCCACGGUAAUACGUAGGGCGCAAGCGUUGUCCGGAAUUAUUGGGCGUAAAGAGCUCGUAGGCGGUCUGUCGCGUCUGGUGUGAAAUCCCGAGGCUCAACCUCGGGCUUGCAUCGGGUACGGGCAGACUAGAGUGCGGUAGGGGAGACUGGAAUUCCUGGUGUAGCGGUGGAAUGCGCAGAUAUCAGGAGGAACACCGAUGGCGAAGGCAGGUCUCUGGGCCGCAACUGACGCUGAGGAGCGAAAGCAUGGGGAGCGAACAGGAUUAGAUACCCGCGUAGUCCCUGUCUCUUAUAA